UGUCCUUGUAAGAAGAGAAGAGACUCACACAGACACACAGGGAGAAGGCCGUACGACGACCAAGGCAGAGAGAGCAGUGACGUCCCUACAAGCAAGGAACACCAAGCAUUGCCACCACCCCCACAAGCUAAGGGACAGGCAUGGACAGAUUCUCCCCUGGAGCCUUCAGAUGCCCUGCUGCCAUCUUGAUUCUGGACGUGUGGCCUCCAGAACCGUGAGAGAAUCCAAGAGAGGCUUUCAAAGCUUACGGUGGAGGAGAAAUGGCUUGUUUGAGAUGAGGAAAGAGGCGGAACAAGGGAAGUAACUUGCCUGAGGUCACAUGGCUUGUCAGUGUCACAGGGCAAGAUUCCAUUCCAGGACUCCCGGAUUCCAGCAUCUCUGCUCCUAACCAGCCAAUCCUUGCUGUCUUCUCCUGCUGGCACGGACUCUGCUAAGAAACAGAAGGUUCAAGAUGGCGACACAGGAAGAUCCUGAACUCACCUCCCCCACAGACACACUGAAUCUACAGCUGCAUAUGGAGCAAUUUCCUCUCAAAAAAACCCUAAAAUCUAGUGGAAAGACUCCUUCGUAUUAGGGAAGUGAGAAAACAAAAAACAAAAAAACAUUGAUGCGAGUAGGAAAGGCUGAGAUAGUCUCACCAUAACCCGCCCUCCCCCCCAGCCACACACAGUGACCCAUAGCCCGAGUGAUCUUAAAACCCAGAGCUUCUCCCCGAGGAACGAAAGGUUUGUACUCCACAUCGGGCACCCCAGCUUUUAAGACCUGCACCUGAGAGAUGCGCCCCCAACACAUCCAGCUUUGAAAAGCAACAGGGCUUGGGCCCAAAAGACCCACAGGGCUGGAGAAACAUCGCUCAAAGGACUCGCUCACCCCGGGGGCCCAGUGCAGAAGCAGCCCUUGGAAAGUGCCCGACUUCCCGUGCUGGAGGUUCAUUCCUAGUUUUCAGGCCUCGGUCUCCAGGGCCCGGAGCUGGUGAGCGCCAUCUUCACCCUCUCCCUAGGCAUUGCUAGAGCCUGCGCCCCCCUCAUUUUUUUUUUUUUUUUUUUUUUUUUGACUCUAGAAGUUUUUCCCCGCAGCGGGCACCAUUUUCCUGCUCUGUCUUGCUAAAGCUGGUGGGCACCGGCUUUUCCUGUCUUUGCUUUUCUCGGCGAUGCCAUAUUUGCGCCCCGCCCCCGCCUCCCCCCAGCCACGCCAUCUUCCGCUCUCCUACUGCGCUCAAAGCGCCAUUGUCUCCUGGAAGGGAGUUUCUACAUGCGUCUGGUGUUCUGGAUUUUACCCGUGGUGACCCAGUUUUGGUGGCUACAGCCCAGGGGAAGUCCCUUGAUCGCCAGGCUCUGAAGGCCAGAGGGGCUUGCUUUCCUGGGUCCCAUGGGACUGUGACAAACGGAGAGACAGUUCUCAGCAGGCGACACCCCCAGGGCACUGCACAGAUAGAGGCUGAAACACCCCCCAUCUUUCUGGGAAAGAGGCCUAUGCGCAUGUCCAGG
RNAcentral lists this long non-coding RNA (1487 nucleotides) under Equus asinus (donkey). RNAcentral's name for it is "lncRNA (ENSEASG00005025348.1)". The record is from RNAcentral. Lineage: Eukaryota; Metazoa; Chordata; Mammalia; Perissodactyla; Equidae.